Molecule: ribosomal RNA, 82 nt
Filed under: Paenibacillus sp. VCA1
Lineage: Bacteria; Bacillati; Bacillota; Bacilli; Caryophanales; Paenibacillaceae
Source: RNAcentral
CAUCCCGAACACGACCGUUAAGCCCUCCAGCGCCGAUGGUACUUGGACCGAAGGGUCCUGGGAGAGUAGGACGCCGCCAAGC